RNAcentral lists this ribosomal RNA (870 nucleotides) under uncultured archaeon. RNAcentral describes it as "bacterial SSU rRNA". It matches the Rfam family "Archaeal small subunit ribosomal RNA", at positions 1 to 878 of the family's 1478-position model. The record is from RNAcentral.
CUCCGGUUGAUCCCCGCCGGACCUGACUGCUAUCGGAUUGGUACUAAGCCAUGCGAGUCAUUGUAGCAAUACAAGGCGGACGGCUCAGUAACACGUAGUCAACCUAACCUAUGGACGUGGAUAACCUCGGGAAACUGAGAAUAAACCGCGAUAGAUCAUUAUGCCUGGAAUGGCUUAUGGUUCAAACAAUUUAUUGCCGUAGGAUGGGACUGCGGCCUAUCAGCUUGUUGGUGAGGUAAUGGCCCACCAAGGCUAUAACAGGUACGGGCUCUGAGAGGAGAAGCCCGGAGAUGGGUACUGAGACACGGACCCAGGCCCUAUGGGGCGCAGCAGGCGAGAAACCUUAGCAAUGUGCGAAAGCACGACUAGGUUAAUCCGAGUGAUUUCUGUUGAAGAAAUCUUUUGUCAGUCGUAAAACCACAGACGAAUAAGGGGUGGGCAAGUCUGGUGUCAGCCGCCGCGGUAAUACCAGCACCUCGAGUGGUCAGGAGGUUUAUUGGGCCUAAAGCAUCCGUAGCCGGCUACGCAAGUCUCCGGUUAAAUCCAGCUGCUCAACAGAUGGGCUGCCGGAGAUACUACAUAGCUAGGGAGCGGGAGAGGUAGACGGUAUUCUGUGGGUAGGGGUAAAAUCCACUGAUCCAUAGAGGACCACCAGUGGCGAAGGCGGUCUACCAGAACGCGUUCGACGGUGAGGGAUGAAAGCUGGGGGGGCAAACCGGAUUAGAUACCCGGGUAGUCCCAGCUGUAAACGAUGCAAACUCGGUGAUGCAUUGGCUUAUGGCCAAUGCAGUGCCGCAGGGAAGCCGUUAAGUUUGCCGCCUGGGAAGUACGGACGCAAGUCUGAAACUUAAAGGAAUUGGCGGGGGAGCA